UGGCGGCGGCGGAGAGGAGGCGGCAGGGCCGCAGCAGAGAGCCGGGGCUGAGGGGCCAGCGAUGCUCGGCGGGCGGAGCGGCGGCAUGCGGCGGUGUCGGGGCGCGGGGCUGGCGGCGCUGGCCGCGGUGCUGCUCGUGGCUUCAGGCAGAGCCCAGGUACAGCAGGAGGCAUUCGUGGAGACCACCGAGGAAAUCGGCAUCAGCAUCAACUGCUCACACCCCACCAAGCAGCUCGGAUACUACAUCCAUUUCUACCGUCAGCUCCCGGGAGGAGAACCCAAACUUCUCGUGAGCGCUCACAAAGGAUUCAAGGAGCUGCCAGACAUCGCAGGAGAGCUGAGGGUGUCGGAGGACGGGCGGAGCAGCGCGCUGUGGCUGCGGCGGCCCCGGCGCGGGGACGCGGCCGUGUAUUACUGCGCGCUGGGCGCACGGGCAGAGGAGCCGGGGCUGCGGCCGGGCACGAACCGCCGCGGGCGGGGCCGGGAAAUCCUCAACAGCCUUAUCAACACCAUGGGGGAAAUAUAA
This is a non-coding RNA of Prinia subflava (tawny-flanked prinia), 526 nucleotides long. NCBI's taxonomy places the organism in Eukaryota, Metazoa, Chordata, Aves, Passeriformes, Cisticolidae. The record is from the annotation of a RefSeq genome assembly.